CUACGGAGGGUGCAAGCGUUAAUCGGAAUUACUGGGCGUAAGGCGUACGUAGGCGGUUCGUUAAGUUAGAUGUGAAAGCCCCGGGCUUAACCUGGGAACUGCAUUUAAAACUGGCGGACUAGAGUUGAGUAGAGGGGAGUGGAAUUUCAGGUGUAGCGGUGAAAUGCGUAGAGAUCUGAAGGAACACCAGUGGCGAAGGCGACUCCCUGGACUCGAACUGACGCUGAGGUACGAAAGCGUGGGUAGCAAACGGGAUUAGAUACCCCAGUAGUCC
Molecule: ribosomal RNA, 274 nt
Filed under: uncultured bacterium
Lineage: Bacteria
Description: partial 16S ribosomal RNA
Rfam family: Bacterial small subunit ribosomal RNA
Source: RNAcentral